GGGGGAUUAGCUCAGAUGGUAGAGCACUUGCUUUGCAUGUGAGAGGUAGCAGUAUCUACACCUGCGUUCUCCA
This is a non-coding RNA of Ameiurus melas (black bullhead), 73 nucleotides long. NCBI's taxonomy places the organism in Eukaryota, Metazoa, Chordata, Actinopteri, Siluriformes, Ictaluridae. The record is from the annotation of a GenBank genome assembly.